RNA transcript from Alnus glutinosa, 2119 nucleotides. It is a transcript of the gene named multicopper oxidase LPR2-like, with no coding region annotated. Lineage: Eukaryota; Viridiplantae; Streptophyta; Magnoliopsida; Fagales; Betulaceae. The transcript has 5 exons. The record is from RefSeq and is a predicted model, not a curated record.
UAUACGUAAGUAUGUCUUUUUGUGUGCAAACCAAUUAAGACACAGCAGAUAGAAACCGAUCGAUCGAGCAUGGAGGGAGGAGGAGUUUUGCAUCUUAGUCUCUUUUGUUUUGCUUUAUUAGGAGGAGGACUCCUCACCACCUCAUUGGCCCAACGUCCCAGCUGGCUGCUAAACUCAUCCACGUUGGAAAUGUUCGUGGAUCAGCUUCCUCAUCUGCCCAAAAUCCUAGCCUACGAUGUUGUGUCUGGUGUUCCCAAAUCUAAGUCACUGGAGAUUGGCAUGUUCAAAAAGAAAUGGAAAUUCCACCGAGAUCUCCCUCCAACACCCGUGUACGCCUACGGUGUAUCUAAGGACACCGCAACAGUUCCUGGUCCAACAAUCGAGGCCCUGCACGGAAUCGACACCUACGUGACGUGGCAAAAUCACCUCCCUCCAAAGCACAUACUGCCGUGGGACACUACCAUCCCAACUGCCAUUCCAGCCAAUAGGAAGGGCAUCCCUACUGUGGUCCAUCUUCACGGUGGGAUCGAUGAGCCCGCGAGCGAUGGACACUUGAACUCAUGGUUCACCGCUGGAUUCAAAGAAAAGGGACCCACGUGGGCGAAAGAAACAUAUCACUACCACAACCAACAACAACCUGGAAACCUGUGGUACCAUGAUCAUGCCGUGGGGUUGACUAGAAUCAACAUCCUAGCUGGCUUGGCUGGAGCCUACAUAAUCCGUCACCCAAAAUUGGAGGCCCCACUUGGACUUCCUAGCGGUGACGAAUUUGAUCGAUUCUUGAUCGUAUUUGAUCGUAGCUUUCGUACUGAUGGUUCAAUAUACGUGAAUUCCACAGGGGAUAACCCCUCCAUACACCCCCAUUGGCAGCCAGAAUAUUUUGGUGAUGCUAUCAUAGUGAACGGCAAGGCCUGGCCACGUUUGAUAGUACGACGUCGUAAGUACCGGUUCCGUAUCCUAAAUGCCAGCAAUGCUAGGUUCUUUAGGUUCUUCUUCACCAACGGUCUGGGGUUCACCCACGUGUCAUCUGAUUCGGCUUAUCUUAACCAACUGGUGGCGACCAAUGAGUUUUUACUGGGCCCGUCUGAGAUUGCAGACGUGGUUGUUGACUUUUCAAACUCAAAGAAUGAUAUUGCUAUCCUAGCAAAUGAUGCACGUUAUCCCUACCCAGGUGGGGACCCGGUCAACGAAGCUAAUAGCAAGGUCAUGAAGUUUAUCAUCCUGAAUCGUCCUGAGGUUGACACGUGGAAAAUUCCCAAGACGUUGAUUCAUUACCCAAGUCCUGAUCUAUCCAGUGCAUCGCACACCAAGUACAUAGCUAUGUACGAGUACACGAGCGCCGCUGAUCAGCCGACUCAUUUAUAUUUGAAUGGGAAAUCAUUCGGAUCACUGGUGACUGAGACCCCAAAAGUGGGGACCACCGAAGUAUGGUACGUGAUCAAUCUGACGGAGGAUAAUCACUCCUUACACAUUCAUUUGGGGCUUUUUGUGGCAAUGGAUCAAACUGAGCUAGUGAACGUGGACGAGUUUAAAAACUGCAUGAUGAGACUGAAUGAUGCAAUCAAGUGCCAAAUAAGCAAGUAUGCACGUGGCAAAAAGAUAGAGGUGCCGGCAUACGAGAAGAGGUGGAAGAACGUGUUCAAGAUAAGACCCAGAUAUGUGACAAAAAUUUUAGUUAGAUUUUCUUACAUACAUUCUAAUGCAUCGUAUCCAUUUGAUGCAACCGUGGAGCCAGGCUACAUGUACCAUUGCCAUAUCUUGGAGCAUGAAGACAACCAGAUGAUGAGGCCCUUAAAGUUGGUCAAUUAAUUAAGAAGGGCAAUAUAUGAGAAAGAUGUGAAUAACCCAAAAUAAGUUUGUUUUCUCUUUCUACAUGCAGGAUCAAAACUUUUCUGAUCCACUAAGUCGAUCAAUCGAGAAAGAAAUAAAGAGUCCGUUGUUGUGGAAAUUGGACUCAUUAAUUGGAGGGUUUAUUUUGUUGUGUCAAAAAAUAGACAGAAAAUAAAUGUAAAAUUGAUAUAAUAUGUUGUACAAUAUGUAAGGUACGGUGCUUACUUCUUUGAGAGUACGUACGAGUCGUAUGCAUAAAUUCAAAGUUAUAUAUGGGUAUUUGAUUUCA